GGGGAUGUAGCUCAGAGGUAGAGCACCCGUUUUGCAAGCGGAAGCGCGUCGGUUCGACUCCGACCAUCUCCACCA
Molecule: transfer RNA, 75 nt
Filed under: Sphingobium phage Lacusarx
Lineage: Duplodnaviria; Heunggongvirae; Uroviricota; Caudoviricetes
Description: tRNA-Ala
Rfam family: tRNA
About the family: Transfer RNA (tRNA) molecules are approximately 80 nucleotides in length. Their secondary structure includes four short double-helical elements and three loops (D, anti-codon, and T loops).
Source: RNAcentral